CUGCUUGACGCGUCUUUAUCAAAAAUAGACUGGCUGCCUGUUCUCGGCUCAGUGUUAGCCGCUUCUGGGACGCGCUGAGGCUCUUCUGGUGUGAUGUGUCGAACUCCAGCUGCGCUUCGCUACGUCAUUACAAUUACUACAAAUAAGAGAGCAACAGCAGUGAAGAAGACAUGCAGCCUCAGACAACCUCCAUGGUGCUCUGCCACUGGGUCGGAUUUGGAAAGAGAUCUGUUGGACUGAAAACAGUCGCUGGAAGCUGUUCUUCCAGACAAAAAGGCUCAGGCUUUCAGAGUUUCUGAUGACGGCAGUUUGUGGAACGAGUGUAACAGCCUUUGACGUGUUUAUUCUCUGUCUCUUUUCCUGCGUGGACAUUUGCUUUUAAAACAUGCCACAAACCACAUGUCAACGGGUCAGCUGCCACUAAUUAUCAGUUGAAAUUUAAAAAACACGCUUUGUAAAUCUCAUCUGCUUCGAGUUGUAUCGCUGGUUGAAGCUGGAAAUUAGAGUCAUGCCCAAAUCUGUCGUCUUUGUUGAGUUGCAGUGACACGGCUAGCCCAUAAUUGUCUCCUUUGAAUCAAAAUGUCAUGUUUGACAAAUCAAGUCCUACUGUAACGUUCAACAGCAUCUCACAGUCUUCAUCAGUGGCCAGAGUUUGCUCAGGCGCAUCACACGAGAUAAUGACAGAGGCAGGGUUAGGAUCCCCUGCCCCCUGACAUUCAUAUUCAUUCUGUGGCAGUUCCAGAGAUGUCUGGUUAUCAGUUUUCUGUAAAAUGUGCCAAAAUGUUGGGGGAGUGCUCCUAUAGAGUCCCAGUAUUAAUGUUAUAUGUUUUAACCAAUCAUUAGGCCCUGUAGUGGGUUUCAGGCUGUAAAUUUGCUGAGUCCUCUGACAGGUGACACCAUUCUCUAACCCUAACCUACAUUUAAACUGCAUUUGAAUCCAACACUCACCCAAAAAGUGAGCAGAUUCUCUGCAGCUUGACUUGGCCUUAUAUCUACAUUGUAUCUGCUGAGGCCAGGGCUGGACUGGGUCCAAAAAAUCGGUCCAAUUUUGGUCCAGGCGGCUCACAACAGUCGGCCGUCUCGUCUCCUCACCAAUACACCAUCCUUGUAGUUCUCUUAAAUAUACUGUAAUAUUCCCCCAAACCACUAUAAAGCUGAGUAGUACGUGCCAUGGAUAAGUUUACCAGUGCAAGUUGAUCAGUGUACUCCUUCGCACUCAUUUUCUGAGUCCCUGCACAACUCGUACUCAAGUACAAGUAAUUUUCACAGCAGCACGGCAACAAUUUUUAUAGCAGCAGCGUGGGAUUAGCCAACGCAGUGCUGAAAAAAUAAUGUCAGCCAUUAGGACAGUUAGCUGAAGCUGAGACUACGUUGGCACAGUUAGGCUAUAUAAAUAAACAAUUUACGUUAAUAUUGGCCCCAUAGAUGCGUCGGCCCACAGGGCAUUUAGCCGGUAUUCCAUAUUACCAGUCCACCCCUGAGGCUGAGGCUAAACCACAGUGGCUGGCCCAACUGGUUUGAUAAGCAGGUCUGUUUGAAUGCCAUGUCCGCUCAGUAGGGUCCAACAUAAAUUCAUUCACAAAUACUUGAAAGGCUGUAAUCUGGUCCAUUUUUCCUGUCAAGACUGUUAAAGAACUAAAAGAUCAUCGGACCUUCAGACCAACUAAACAUAAAUAAAAUGAGUCCAAGUGAUCAGCAGUGUGCAGGAGUUAGUACUGGACUGACACACCUGUUUAUACGACUAUCUAGUGCUUUGUAGUUGUAAUUGUUCCCUUUCAAGACAUAUAACACCUGGUUAACUGUGUCUGACACCAAUGAUAUGUUGAGAGGUUAGCAAUUGAACAGAUAUAUUUAGGCACUGUCUAGACUCCGCUGCAUUGCAGUACAGAUUUUAUUUCCCAGGUAACGCAGGUUUAGAUCUGCUGGGAAUAUCUCUCACACAGUGGAUGCGAAAAAACUUGAGAUGACAAUUUACAGCCUUUCAGCACAUCCCAUGCCUCGAUCGUCUUCUGUGAUCGUUUCUCUUAGUACGAGCUCGUGUCAGUUGCAGAAGUCACUCCCUUUCUGGCCCUGUUUGUCACGUGUGGAGGUGGAGAUGCAACUGUCAGCAUGAAAGCCUCUCAAUGUGACUGUCCUGCUGUCUGAGUGACGACUGCUAAACAUCAAGUCUCCUGUAACUGGAGGAUAAUUGAGUGUAAUGGCAGGCGGGGAUGCUUUGGUUAAAUGGCACACAGUUGAGAGAAACAAUACAGCACUGAAAGAUCAAACCACGAUGAUACUGCAGAUUCACUGAGACCACCAGAGAGAGGAGGCUUCUUUAAUUUGACAUUUGAAUCACUGCACAAAGUCAAGGGUGAGAUGUGAAUGAGAGAAGAAUAAAUGCAGGGGGAGAGAGAGAGAGAGAGAGAGAGCGAGAGCUGUUGACCCAUAUUUACUGUAACAUUUUCCCUCCCCUCCCCACACUCCGUUUCUCAUUGACCUCCCUCUUUUACCCCGGAUCUAUUUUUAGCAGCAGCCGCUCUCACUCAGGCCUAAUAUAAGAAUAGAUGCUCCUCGCAAGAAACGCAGCAGGAAAUAUUCUGCAGGCAAUAAGUUGGAGUGAGGGGGGGGGGGCUGUCCUAUCAACCUGACCGAUUUAACAAGCUCUGUCACACAGUACAUCACUGUUUUCAAAUUUGUCUCUUGAUCCUUGCAGCACUUUGGUGCAAUCCUUCAAUCUGAAUUUAAGGGUGCUCUCUGGGCCUUUUUCUGUAAGAGGAGCCCUUACUGGACCAUUAAACAGUUUAUUUAUUUUGGUAAAACAACUCCCUCUUACUGCAGAUGAUGGUUCUCUAUUGCCUUCUCUGUCAAGUCCAUCGUCUGGCUGCUGGCUGCAAAACUCCCAAUUUUUUCUGUCUCUUAAUGCUGCUUGUUUUAUGAAUGUAAACCAUUUUUCUCACUCAGAAUGAACUACAAAUAAUCCUCUGCAUUGUUGUUGAUUAUUUCUU
This is a long non-coding RNA of Micropterus dolomieu (smallmouth bass), 2987 nucleotides long. RefSeq lists it as uncharacterized. The record is from RefSeq and is a predicted model, not a curated record. The transcript has 3 exons. Lineage: Eukaryota; Metazoa; Chordata; Actinopteri; Centrarchiformes; Centrarchidae.